Molecule: ribosomal RNA, 468 nt
Filed under: uncultured bacterium
Lineage: Bacteria
Description: partial 16S ribosomal RNA
Rfam family: Bacterial small subunit ribosomal RNA
Source: RNAcentral
GACGAACGCUGGCGGCGUGCUUAACACAUGCAAGUCGAACGGAAAGGCCCUGCUUUUGUGGGGUGCUCGAGUGGCGAACGGGUGAGUAACACGUGAGUAACCUUCCCUUGCCUUUGGGAUAACUUCAGGAAACUGGUGCUAAUACCGGAUAGGAGCUCCUGCUGCAUGUUGUGGGUUGGAAAGUUUCGGCGGUUGGGGAUGGACUCGCGGCUUAUCAGCUUGUUGGUGGGGUAGUGGCUUACCAAGGCAUUGACGGGUGGCCGGCCUGAGAGGGUGACCGGCCACAUUGGGCCUGAGAUACGGGCCAGAGUCCAACGGGAGGCAGCAGUGGGGAACAGUGCGCGAUGGGCGGAAGCCGGAUGCAGCAACGCCGGGUGCGGGAUGACGGCCGUCGGGGUGUAAACCGCUUUCGCCUGUGACGAAGCGUGAGUGACGGUAAUGGGUAAAGAAGCACCGGCUAACUACGUG